This 900-nucleotide ribosomal RNA is filed under the name Acinetobacter baumannii. RNAcentral describes it as "bacterial SSU rRNA". It matches the Rfam family "Bacterial small subunit ribosomal RNA", at positions 68 to 961 of the family's 1533-position model. The record is from RNAcentral. Lineage: Bacteria; Pseudomonadati; Pseudomonadota; Gammaproteobacteria; Moraxellales; Moraxellaceae.
GGGGGAAGGUAGCUUGCUACCGGACCUAGCGGCGGACGGGUGAGUAAUGCUUAGGAAUCUGCCUAUUAGUGGGGGACAACAUCUCGAAAGGGAUGCUAAUACCGCAUACGUCCUACGGGAGAAAGCAGGGGAUCUUCGGACCUUGCGCUAAUAGAUGAGCCUAAGUCGGAUUAGCUAGUUGGUGGGGUAAAGGCCUACCAAGGCGACGAUCUGUAGCGGGUCUGAGAGGAUGAUCCGCCACACUGGGACUGAGACACGGCCCAGACUCCUACGGGAGGCAGCAGUGGGGAAUAUUGGACAAUGGGGGGAACCCUGAUCCAGCCAUGCCGCGUGUGUGAAGAAGGCCUUAUGGUUGUAAAGCACUUUAAGCGAGGAGGAGGCUACUUUAGUUAAUACCUAGAGAUAGUGGACGUUACUCGCAGAAUAAGCACCGGCUAACUCUGUGCCAGCAGCCGCGGUAAUACAGAGGGUGCGAGCGUUAAUCGGAUUUACUGGGCGUAAAGCGUGCGUAGGCGGCUUAUUAAGUCGGAUGUGAAAUCCCCGAGCUUAACUUGGGAAUUGCAUUCGAUACUGGUGAGCUAGAGUAUGGGAGAGGAUGGUAGAAUUCCAGGUGUAGCGGUGAAAUGCGUAGAGAUCUGGAGGAAUACCGAUGGGGAAGGGCAGCCAUCUGGCCUAAUACUGACGCUGAGGUACGAAAGCAUGGGGAGCAAACAGGAUUAGAUACCCUGGUAGUCCAUGCCGUAAACGAUGUCUACUAGCCGUUGGGGCCUUUGAGGCUUUAGUGGCGCAGCUAACGCGAUAAGUAGACCGCCUGGGGAGUACGGUCGCAAGACUAAAACUCAAAUGAAUUGACGGGGGCCCGCACAAGCGGUGGAGCAUGUGGUUUAAUUCGAUGCAACG